Small nuclear RNA from Pongo abelii (Sumatran orangutan), 106 nucleotides. NCBI's taxonomy places the organism in Eukaryota, Metazoa, Chordata, Mammalia, Primates, Hominidae. The record is from Ensembl.
GUGCUUCUUUGGCAGCACAUAUACUACAAUUGGAACAAUACAGAGAUUAUUAGCAUGGCCCCUGCACAAGGAUGACAUGUAAAUUCAUGAAAUAUUCCAUGUUUUC